Molecule: long non-coding RNA, 1586 nt
Organism: Erigeron canadensis
Lineage: Eukaryota; Viridiplantae; Streptophyta; Magnoliopsida; Asterales; Asteraceae
Exons: 4
Source: RefSeq, a predicted model, not a curated record
UAAUUCAUCUGGAUGGAUUGCUAAAUGAAUGUGGAUACAUUAAAUAAGCUGAUUUAAGAGUGCUUAACAAGGAAUAAUGACGGUUAAAAAGGGCAAACCUGAAUCUGUUUUAGCCAUGGUUUUGUCUCGUCUUCUUUUCUUGAUUUGAGAUUUGCAUUUGCACCUGUCCAGCGGCCGUCGGUGCGGAUCUUGGUGGUAAUAGCAAAUAUUCAAAUGAGAACUUUGAAGGCCAAAGAGGGGAAAGGUUCCAUGUGAACGGCACUUGCACGGUUAGUCGAUCCUAAGUCUAUGCUAUCUCUUCGACUUUUAUAAGUUUUGUAUUUGAAGAAUGGUUUCUAGGUUUACAAAAGUAAUGUGUUUGGUUUUGGUUCGCCGUGGGGUGGUAGGGCACAAUCACAUGUAUAAAAUGAGGUUUGAACCGGGAACCAAGGUGCUGUUAGGCCAAGGCUCACUGAGUAGCAUUGCUUAUUGAAACUCUUCGUUGUAGAUUACAAUAGAUAAUCAAAGUGGAUAUUUAGAUGGUGUCGGAUAGAGUAAGGAGUAUAUGCCGAACAAGGAAGCAUGAGACAUGAUUGAAGAUGUUAUGUAUUUAGGUUUUUCGGCAAAGCAUAGCUUACUGAAUAAUAUGUCAAGUUUGGUAUGCAUCUUGGCGAGGCAAUCCAGGCUGAAUUGCGAUCCUCACAAUGGCUCCUCCCCUUUAUUUGUUACCAGAUCUAAUAUACAAGCCUGUAACCUCAUGUUAUGCUGGCUUUUCUAGUUUUAUAAAGCUUUUGAUGUUGCAAUGUAAGAAAUUUCCUCUUGGAUGUAAUGAAGCAUGUUUGAGCAAAUGGUUUGGUCAAACAUCAAUCUUUGUGUCUUUGUGAUUUCCUUUAGAAGGCAACAACCCGUGAGCUUUCCAAAAACAAUGCAUCUGAGUGAUGCUAAGGUUAUCCAUAUCUUGGCAAGGCAAUAUAUGGAUUUUCGCUGAUUGUGUAGUGAAAAUAGAGGUGAAUCAUCUCUCUCACAGUGCAGGUUUUAUCUCCUCCUGUCAAUUGUUUACUAGUAAUAUCAAAGGUAAGGGCUUUUCAUAAAUGUUUAAAAAAAGACCCUCCAACUCUGGUCGAGAAAAGAAGCUUAAACUAGAUGAAUCUCGUUUGUUCGAUAUGGGUGUUUUCUGGAUUGCUUAUUAUGGGUUAUCAAGAACAAUAUCCAAUCUCAUACAUAUGCGGGAUAGAGAGUUUUAAGGAUGCUGGGGUUGUACCUGAUAGACUACUAUCACAUGCUUAAGGACUCCUGGCACAUCACACAAUUAAAAAAGCGAGAAAGAGGAGAUGAAGUUAGUGCUAUGUGUUUAAGUUUUCUAAGUAAAGCAUAAAUUACCCAAUAAUGGGUGAAAGUAGCUAGGCCCAUAUCAUGGCAAGGCCACCCCAAUCUUGCAGUGUUGGAGGCUUGGAGCUAUGGUGAUGUUUGAUACCUUUUCUUUUUUCUCUCUGAUUCAGGGUCGCUCAUCCACGAUUAACUUGUGCUGUCAUGAAAUGAUAUAAAGUUUUAGAUUUUCGAUGUAAACAUUUUCCAGUAAUAUCAUUGAUUUUCGACUUUUGUUACCA